GGGCCGUUAGCUCAGUGGGUUGAGCGUGGUGCUGAGAACGCUGAGGUGCCGGGUUCGAUUCCCAUUUGGUCCC
This 73-nucleotide transfer RNA is filed under the name Apaloderma vittatum (bar-tailed trogon). It matches the Rfam family "tRNA". Rfam says of the family: Transfer RNA (tRNA) molecules are approximately 80 nucleotides in length. Lineage: Eukaryota; Metazoa; Chordata; Aves; Trogoniformes; Trogonidae. The record is from Rfam by way of RNAcentral.